Molecule: transfer RNA, 68 nt
Filed under: Halipeurus diversus
Lineage: Eukaryota; Metazoa; Arthropoda; Insecta; Psocodea; Philopteridae
Description: tRNA-Leu
Source: RNAcentral
AUUAAAAUGGCAGAGUUAAGUGCAUCAAAUUUAAAAUUUGAAUAUGAAUCUUUAUAAUUCUUUUAAUA